GAACGUCGGCUCCAGGGGCACGUUCACCUCAAUUCGGGAGAUUUGUGCCAUGUGGUAUGCUUGUUCUCCUGCUGGAGUUUCAGAGACGGAUAAAAGAAGCAUGUUUUUUUUGUCACGGUGAUCAGUUUGGAACAAGAUAUUAAUCCAAAAAUAGAGAAAAACUUAGUAUCAUACAAGCAUUUUGCCUUCCAGAAUAUAUAUCGCAAGAUGGCUGGAUCAAUCAAUUGAAAGAUUUAUUCGUAGCUAGCCAAAUCUGUAUUUCCUACAGGAACUGUUCGGCCAAAAUUUAAUCAACAUAACAACCAUCGGUGGCAUCGUAGAGUCUAUUUCAGCCGAGUGUGUAAAUAAAUCUCUUAUGAUUGUAUGGUUAUCAGGAAGUGGCAUUAACGUUUUUCAACGUUACUGUGAGGUGCACGCUUAACGUUGAAACUAUCUGCUGUGAUGAAGUUAUGUGGACUGUGAUAUCGGUACCGAUUAGACGGACUUUUUGAGUGCCAUACAAAACCAGAUUAAAGAGUCCACUACUCAAAAGGUGGCCCUUUUCGGCUAUGGUAGGAGCGAACCUUGGAGCAAACUGUCUGCAGGUCUACAUGACGAUCAAGAAGGCCAGCAGCAAACGUCUCCAAUGCAUGCGAGAUGUUUCGAAUGAUUAGCUUCUGGAGAUUGGAAUCAAUACUAUCGGCUCGACCAAUUACUGAUUGUUUCGAAGCGCAAAUGCGGAUGAAGUUUGGCGAUACGAUUGAUUAGUCUUGGCGUAGUGGUAGUAAGAACACAUAUACCACCAGAUAAGAAAGUAUAUGUUCAUACGUCGAAGAAACGAAGAAACAAUUAAAGAAUCUUUCUGACAAUAAUCAUCGAACACCAAAUAUUUGUCGCAUCUCAACCUGCAGUAAACUGUGAAUAAAUAUACGGCUGUCGGAACGUCGUUGAUAAGCUUAUUGAUGAAGUUGUCGGCAUUAAGCAUUAACACCCGCAGUCUUUAUGCGAUGAGCGCAACAGUUCAAUCAUAAUUAUAAGCACCAAUGUUAAUUUCAAAACGAAGUUUCUUAUUGCAGGAUUCCCUUG
This is a long non-coding RNA of Armigeres subalbatus, 1065 nucleotides long. RefSeq lists it as uncharacterized. The record is from RefSeq and is a predicted model, not a curated record. NCBI's taxonomy places the organism in Eukaryota, Metazoa, Arthropoda, Insecta, Diptera, Culicidae. The transcript has 4 exons.